GUGCUCGCUUCGACAGCACAUAAAUUGGAACGAUACAGAGAAGAUUAGCAUGGUCCUUGCGCAAGGAUGACAUGCAAAUUCGUGAAGUGUUCCAUAUUUUU
This 101-nucleotide small nuclear RNA is filed under the name Cervus hanglu yarkandensis (Yarkand deer). The record is from RNAcentral. Lineage: Eukaryota; Metazoa; Chordata; Mammalia; Artiodactyla; Cervidae.